RNAcentral lists this ribosomal RNA (1343 nucleotides) under uncultured bacterium. RNAcentral's name for it is "16S ribosomal RNA". It matches the Rfam family "Bacterial small subunit ribosomal RNA", at positions 28 to 1378 of the family's 1533-position model. The record is from RNAcentral.
GACGAACGCUGUCGGCGUGCUUAACACAUGCAAGUCGAACGGAAAGGCCCUGCUUUUGUGGGGUGCUCGAGUGGCGAACGGGUGAGUAACACGUGAGUAACCUGCCCUUGACUUUGGGAUAACUUCAGGAAACUGGGGCUAAUACCGGAUAGGAGCUCCUGCUGCAUGGUGGGGGUUGGAAAGUUUCGGCGGUUGGGGAUGGACUCGCGGCUUAUCAGCUUGUUGGUGGGGUAGUGGCUUACCAAGGCUUUGACGGGUAGCCGGCCUGAGAGGGUGACCGGCCACAUUGGGACUGAGAUACGGCCCAGACUCCUACGGGAGGCAGCAGUGGGGAAUAUUGCACAAUGGGCGGAAGCCUGAUGCAGCAACGCCGCGUGCGGGAUGACGGCCUUCGGGUUGUAAACCGCUUUCGCCUGUGACGAAGCGUGAGUGACGGUAAUGGGUAAAGAAGCACCGGCUAACUACGUGCCAGCAGCCGCGGUGAUACGUAGGGUGCGAGCGUUGUCCGGAUUUAUUGGGCGUAAAGGGCUCGUAGGUGGUUGAUCGCGUCGGAAGUGUAAUCUUGGGGCUUAACCCUGAGCGUGCUUUCGAUACGGGUUGACUUGAGGAAGGUAGGGGAGAAUGGAAUUCCUGGUGGAGCGGUGGAAUGCGCAGAUAUCAGGAGGAACACCAGUGGCGAAGGCGGUUCUCUGGGCCUUUCCUGACGCUGAGGAGCGAAAGCGUGGGGAGCGAACAGGCUUAGAUACCCUGGUAGUCCACGCUGUAAACGGUGGGUACUAGGUGUGGGGUCCAUUCCACGGGUUCCGUGCCGUAGCUAACGCUUUAAGUACCCCGCCUGGGGAGUACGGCCGCAAGGCUAAAACUCAAAGGAAUUGACGGGGCCCCGCACAAGCGGCGGAGCAUGCGGAUUAAUUCGAUGCAACGCGUAGAACCUUACCUGGGUUUGGCAUGGAUCGGGAGCGCUCAGAGAUGGGUGUGCCUCUUUUGGGGUCGGUUCACAGGUGGUGCAUGGCUGUCGUCAGCUCGUGUCGUGAGAUGUUGGGUUAAGUCCCGCAACGAGCGCAACCCUUGUUCACUGUUGCCAGCACGUUAUGGUGGGGACUCAGUGGAGACCGCCGGGGUCAACUCGGAGGAAGGUGGGGAUGACGUCAAGUCAUCAUGCCCCUUAUGUCCAGGGCUUCACGCAUGCUACAAUGGCUGGUACAGAGAGUGGCGAGCCUGUGAGGGUGAGCGAAUCUCGGAAAGCCGGUCUCAGUUCGGAUUGGGGUCUGCAACUCGACCUCAUGAAGUCGGAGUCGCUAGUAAUCGCAGAUCAGCAACGCUGCGGUGAAUACGUUCCCGGG